UAAGGAAUAUUGGACAAUGGACGCAAGUCUGAUCCAGCCAUGCCGCGUGAAGGAUGAAUGCCCUCUGGGUUGUAAACUUCUUUUAUAGGGGAAGAAAGAUACUUUUUUUAAGGUAGUUGACGGUACCCUAUGAAUAAGCACCGGCUAACUCCGUGCCAGCAGCCGCGGUAAUACGGAGGGUGCAAGCGUUAUCCGGAUUUACUGGGUUUAAAGGGUGCGUAGGCGGGCAUGUAAGUCAGUGGUGAAAUACCGGAGCUUAACUUCGGAACUGCCAUUGAUACUAUAUGUCUUGAAUAUUGUGGAGGUAAGCGGAAUAUGUCAUGUAGCGGUGAAAUGCAUAGAUAUGACAUAGAACACCCAUUGCGGAGGCAGCUUGCUACGCAAAUAUUGACGCUGAGGCACGAAAGCGUGGGGAUCAAACA
RNAcentral lists this ribosomal RNA (422 nucleotides) under uncultured bacterium. RNAcentral describes it as "bacterial SSU rRNA". It matches the Rfam family "Bacterial small subunit ribosomal RNA", at positions 355 to 774 of the family's 1533-position model. The record is from RNAcentral.